UACGUAGGGCGCAAGCGUUGUCCGGAAUUAUUGGGCGUAAAGGGCUCGUAGGCGGCCAACUAAGUCAGACGUGAAAUCCCUCGGCUUAACCGGGGAACUGCGUCUGAUACUGGAUGGCUUGAGUGUGGGAGAGGGAUGGCGGAAUUCCAGGUGUAGCGGUGAAAUGCGUAGAUAUCUGGAGGACACCGGUGGCGAAGGCGGCAUCCUGGACCGGUAUUGACGCUGAUGCGCGAAAGCCAGGGGAGCCAAAGCGGGG
RNAcentral lists this ribosomal RNA (256 nucleotides) under uncultured bacterium. RNAcentral's name for it is "partial 16S ribosomal RNA". It matches the Rfam family "Bacterial small subunit ribosomal RNA", at positions 524 to 779 of the family's 1533-position model. The record is from RNAcentral.